Salvia miltiorrhiza (redroot sage) is the source of this 307-nucleotide long non-coding RNA. RefSeq lists it as uncharacterized. The record is from RefSeq and is a predicted model, not a curated record. The transcript has 3 exons. Lineage: Eukaryota; Viridiplantae; Streptophyta; Magnoliopsida; Lamiales; Lamiaceae.
CGCCCAAAUACACCUAAAACCCUACUUAAUUUAGCAGAACGCGACGCCAUUGCCUCCUCUCUCUCUCCCGUCUUGCCCCGAUUCAACAGCAAAGAUGGUUCUCUCGAACGACUACGAUUUGUUGAACCCACCGGCGGAGCUUGAGAAAAGGAAGCACAAGCUUAAGCGCCUUGUGCAAUCUCCUAACUCUUUCUUCAUGGAUGUCAAGUGCCAGGGUUGCUUCAAUAUGUAAGUUGCAUCGGAUUUUGUAAACUGGAUAAUUGGAUUUGUGAAAUUGUGAAUCAAGUUUGUUGAAUUAUUUGUGAGA